ACUACGGGAGGCAGCAGUGAGGAAUAUUGGUCAAUGGGCGCGAGCCUGAACCAGCCAAGUAGCGUGAAGGCUGACUGCCCUACGGGUUGUAAACUUCUUUUAUAAAGGAAUAAAGUGAGGCACGUGUGCCUUUUUGUAUGUACUUUAUGAAUAAGGAUCGGCUAACUCCGUGCCAGCAGCCGCGGUAAUACGUAGGAUCCGCGCGUUAUCCGGAUUUAUUGGGUUUAAAGGGAGCGUAGAUGGGUUGUUAAGUCAGUUGUGAAAGUUUGCGGCUCAAACGUAAAAUUGCAAUUGAUACUGGCAGUCUUGAGUACAGUUGAGGUAGGCGGAAUUCGUGGUGUAGCGGUGAAAUGCUUAGAUAUCACGAAGAACUCCGAUUGCGAAGGCAGCUUACUAAACUGCCACUGACAUUGAUGCUCGAAAGUGUGGGUAUCAAACAGGAUUAGAUACCCCAGUAGUC
Molecule: ribosomal RNA, 460 nt
Filed under: uncultured bacterium
Lineage: Bacteria
Description: partial 16S ribosomal RNA
Rfam family: Bacterial small subunit ribosomal RNA
Source: RNAcentral